This 338-nucleotide ribosomal RNA is filed under the name Astylosternus diadematus (Victoria night frog). RNAcentral describes it as "partial 12S ribosomal RNA". It matches the Rfam family "Bacterial small subunit ribosomal RNA", at positions 878 to 1384 of the family's 1533-position model. Lineage: Eukaryota; Metazoa; Chordata; Amphibia; Anura; Arthroleptidae. The record is from RNAcentral.
UAUUACGAGCACAAGCUUAAAACUCAAAGGACUUGACGGUGUCCCACCCACCUAGAGGAGCCUGUUCUAUAAUCGAUACUCCCCGCUAAACCUAACCACUUCUCGCCUCUCAGCCUGUAUACCUCCGUCGCAAGCUUACCUUAUGAACGAUCAUUAGUGAGCAACAAGGCUAUUACACCUACACGUCAGGUCAAGGUGCAGCUCACGAAGUGGUGUGAAAUGGGCUACAAUUUCUAUAAUUUAGAACACACGAAAGACCCCAUGAAAUUAAGUCAUGAAGGCGGAUUUAGUAGUAAAAAGGAAAUAGAGUGUCUUUUUAAUCCGGCACUGGGACGCGU